RNAcentral lists this long non-coding RNA (846 nucleotides) under Linum usitatissimum (flax). Its description in RNAcentral is "long non-coding RNA (LUSI_LNC004081)". The record is from RNAcentral. Lineage: Eukaryota; Viridiplantae; Streptophyta; Magnoliopsida; Malpighiales; Linaceae.
CUUUCCUUAAUAAGUGAAGAGGAUGCGUUCGGUUAGCCAUAGAGACGGGUAUAAGCUGCCAAUGGAUUGCUGUUCUCCAAGCUGUCAGAGAAAGUGAGGUAUGAACUAUAGUUCAUUAAUGGGCCAAAUAGCAUUAAGCAUGUACUUAUAACCAUUCAAAAUACAUCUUCAAACUAAUUAGUAAGGUGGAUCGUGGUGGGUGUAUGAAACAAACUAAAAUACAGGGGUAUGUGCGGUGUCCAUUCUGAGUUCAGUAUUUGCAUUGAAGCAUCUAUCAUGUUAACAGAAGAAACAUGCCUAAUUAUUAGAUUGUGGGUACUUGGCAAGGGAUAAAAAGGGGUCGGUGGGAUGAAAAGGUAUGUUAUUAAAAAAUAUAUGAUUGCCAGGCUUGAACUAAAUUAUAUAUAAUCUUCAUUUGUCUUUUCAAUAAUACCUCUAAUGACUUCUGGGGAGAUUAGUUUGCUUUUUAUAAUCAGACGUACAUGUGCAGCAAGGUGCUUACAAGUGGAGAAUUGAGGAAGAUCGUUCGAAGAGAGCGUUGAGUCGUUGACUAUUGCGGCCGAUGAAGACAAGGAUACAUCGGGCUUCUCCCUCUGCUAUGUCCAUUGUCCCGUAUGUGUCCGUCGUACUGCUAUUUGCUUCUCUCUCAUUUCUCUUUCUCUCCUCUUUUUUAAUAUAUGAACUUUAGUUAUAAAGUUCUAUUCUUUUUUUAACUAUUUAUAGAUACAUUGGACUUUUAAAGUAAUUAAUAUAUUGAUGACUUAUAUUAAAUUUUGUUCACCAGUUAAUAUAUGCUUUUUUUUAGAAAAUCAAUGGGUUGAUAUAUGUUUGUGAGAUCAAUGUGCC